RNAcentral lists this ribosomal RNA (452 nucleotides) under uncultured bacterium. Its description in RNAcentral is "bacterial SSU rRNA". It matches the Rfam family "Bacterial small subunit ribosomal RNA", at positions 340 to 786 of the family's 1533-position model. The record is from RNAcentral.
UACGGGAGGCAGCAGUGGGGAAUAUUGCACAAUGGGCGCAAGCCUGAUGCAGCCAUGCCGCGUGUAUGAAGAAGGCCUUCGGGUUGUAAAGUACUUUCAGUCGUGAGGAAGGUGUUAAGGUUAAUAACCUUAGCAAUUGACGUUAGCGACAGAAGAAGCACCGGCUAACUCCGUGCCAGCAGCCGCGGUAAUACGGAGGGUGCGAGCGUUAAUCGGAAUUACUGGGCGUAAAGGGCACGCAGGCGGUUAAUUAAGUUGGAUGUGAAAUCCCCGGGCUUAACCUGGGAAUGGCAUUCAAGACUGGUUAGCUAGAGUCUUGUAGAGGGGGUGAAUUCCAUGUGUAGCGGUGAAAUGCGUAGAGAUGUGGAGGAAUACCGGUGGCGAAGGCGGCCCCUGGACAAAGACUGACGCUCAUGUGCGAAAGCGUGGGGAGCAAACAGGGAUUAGAUACC